UUGACGGGGGCCCGCACCAAGCGGAGGAACAUGUGGUUUAAUUCGAUGAUACGCGAGGAACCUUACCUGGGCUUAAAUGGGAGUGACAGCUGUCGAAAGAUGGUUUUCUUCGGACACUCUUCAAGGUGCUGCAUGGCUGUCGUCAGCUCGUGCCGUGAGGUGUCGGGUUAAGUCCCAUAACGAGCGCAACCCUUACCGUUAGUUACCAUCAGGUUAAGCUGGGGACUCUAGCGGGACUGCCACCGUAAGGUGAGAGGAAGGUGGGGAUGACGUCAAAUCAGCACGGCCCUUAUGUCCAGGGCUACACACGUGUUACAAUGGCCAGUACAAAGGGCAGCUACCGGGUGACCGGAUGCUAAUCUCUAAAGCUGGUCUCAGUUCGGAUCGAAGUCUGCAACCCGACUUCGUGAAGCUGGAUUCGCUAGUAAUCGCGCAUCAGCCAUGGCGCGGUGAAUACGUUCCCGGGCCUU
This 470-nucleotide ribosomal RNA is filed under the name uncultured Sphingobacteriales bacterium. RNAcentral describes it as "bacterial SSU rRNA". It matches the Rfam family "Bacterial small subunit ribosomal RNA", at positions 910 to 1382 of the family's 1533-position model. Lineage: Bacteria; Pseudomonadati; Bacteroidota; Sphingobacteriia; Sphingobacteriales. The record is from RNAcentral.